RNAcentral lists this ribosomal RNA (286 nucleotides) under uncultured bacterium. RNAcentral's name for it is "partial 16S ribosomal RNA". It matches the Rfam family "Bacterial small subunit ribosomal RNA", at positions 29 to 305 of the family's 1533-position model. The record is from RNAcentral.
AAUGAACGCUGGCGGCGCGCCUAAUACAUGCAAGUCGAGCGAGAAGACGUAGCAAUACGUUUGUAAAGCGGCGAACGGGUGAGGAAUACAUGGGUAACCUACCCUCGAGUGGGGAAUAACUAGCCGAAAGGUUAGCUAAUACCGCGUACGCUCCUUGGACUUCGGUUCAGGGAGGAAAGCGAUACCGUGGGUAUCGCGCUCUUGGAUGGGCUCAUGUCCUAUCAGCUUGUUGGGAGGUAACGGCUCACCAAGGCUUCGACGGGUAGCUGGUCUGAGGAGGACGAUC